AUUGAACGCUGGCGGCAGGCCUAACACAUGCAAGUCGAGCGGAUGAAGGGAGCUUGCUCCUGGAUUCAGCGGCGGACGGGUGAGUAAUGCCUAGGAAUCUGCCUGGUAGUGGGGGAUAACGUCCGGAAACGGGCGCUAAUACCGCAUACGUCCUGAGGGAGAAAGUGGGGGAUCUUCGGACCUCACGCUAUCAGAUGAGCCUAGGUCGGAUUAGCUAGUUGGUGGGGUAAAGGCCUACCAAGGCGACGAUCCGUAACUGGUCUGAGAGGAUGAUCAGUCACACUGGAACUGAGACACGGUCCAGACUCCUACGGGAGGCAGCAGUGGGGAAUAUUGGACAAUGGGCGAAAGCCUGAUCCAGCCAUGCCGCGGGUGUGAAGAAGGUCUUCGGAUUGUAAAGCACUUUAAGUUGGGAGGAAGGGCAGUAAGUUAAUACCUUGCUGUUUUGACGUACCAACAGAAUAAGCACCGGCUAACUUCGUG
RNAcentral lists this ribosomal RNA (483 nucleotides) under uncultured bacterium. Its description in RNAcentral is "partial 16S ribosomal RNA". It matches the Rfam family "Bacterial small subunit ribosomal RNA", at positions 30 to 507 of the family's 1533-position model. The record is from RNAcentral.